This 465-nucleotide ribosomal RNA is filed under the name uncultured bacterium. RNAcentral's name for it is "partial 16S ribosomal RNA". It matches the Rfam family "Bacterial small subunit ribosomal RNA", at positions 28 to 507 of the family's 1533-position model. The record is from RNAcentral.
GACGAACGCUGGCGGCGUGCUUAACACAUGCAAGUCGAACGGAAAGGCCCUGCUUGCAGGGUACUCGAGUGGCGAACGGGUGAGGAACACGUGGGUGAUCUGCCCUGCACUUCGGGAUAAGCCUGGGAAACUGGGUCUAAUACCGGAUAGGAGCCAUUUUUAGUGCGAUGGUUGGAAAGUUUUUUCGGUGUAGGAUUAGCUCGCGGCCUAUCAGCUUGUUGGUGGGGUAAUGGCCUACCAAGGCGGCGACGGGGGGCCGGCCUGGGAGGGUGGACGGCCACAUUGGGACUGAGAUACGGCCCAGACUCCUACGGGAGGCAGCAGUGGGGAAUAUUGCACAAUGGGCGCAAGCCUGAUGCAGCGACGCCGCGUGGGGGAUGACGGCCUUCUGGUUGUAAACUCCUUUCGCUAGGGACGAAGCUUUUUGUGACGGUACCUAGAUAAGAAGCACCGGCUAACUACGUG